Molecule: ribosomal RNA, 417 nt
Filed under: uncultured alpha proteobacterium SUR-FREE-2
Lineage: Bacteria; Pseudomonadati; Pseudomonadota; Alphaproteobacteria
Description: partial 16S ribosomal RNA
Source: RNAcentral
GGUUACCUUGUUACGACUUCACCCCAGUUGCUGAUCGUACCGUAGUCAAAGGUAUAAGCUUUGCCUUAAGGUGUAACCAACUUCCAUGGUGUGACGGGCGGUGUGUACAAGACCCGGGAACGUAUUCACCGCGGCGCGCUGAUCCGCGAUUACUAGCAAUUCCAGCUUCAUGCACUCGAGUUACAGAGUACAAUCCGAACUGAGGUACAUUUUAGAGAUUGGCUAGGACUUGCAUCUUUGCUUCUCAUUGUAAGUACCAUUGUAGCACGUGUGUAGCCCAACACAUAAGGGCCAUGAGGACUUGACGUCAUCCCCACCUUCCUCCAGCUUAUCACUGGCAGUUCUUUUAAAGUGCCCAACUAAAUGGUGGCAACUAAAAAUAGGGGUUGCGCUCGUUGCGGGGACUUAACCCAACAU